CCUACGGGGGGCAGCAGUGGGGAAUAUUGGACAAUGGGGGCAACCCUGAUCCAGCCAUGCCGCGUGUGUGAAGAAGGCCCUCGGGUUGUAAAGCACUUUCAGUGAGGAAGAACGCCUGGUGGUUAAUACCCAUCAGGAAAGACAUCACUCACAGAAGAAGCACCGGCUAACUCCGUGCCAGCAGCCGCGGUAAUACGGAGGGUGCGAGCGUUAAUCGGAAUUACUGGGCGUAAAGCGCGCGUAGGUGGCUUGAUAAGCCGGUUGUGAAAGCCCCGGGCUCAACCUGGGAACGGCAUCCGGAACUGUCAAGCUAGAGUGCAGGAGAGGAAGGUAGAAUUCACGGUGUAGCGGUGAAAUGCGUAGAGAUCGGGAGGAAUACCAGUGGCGAAGGCGGCCUUCUGGACUGACACUGACACUGAGGUGCGAAAGCGUGGGUAGCAAACAGGAUUAGAUACCCUUGUAGUC
Molecule: ribosomal RNA, 465 nt
Filed under: Vreelandella stevensii
Lineage: Bacteria; Pseudomonadati; Pseudomonadota; Gammaproteobacteria; Oceanospirillales; Halomonadaceae
Description: partial 16S ribosomal RNA
Rfam family: Bacterial small subunit ribosomal RNA
Source: RNAcentral